GUGCUCACUUCAGCAACACAUAUACUAAAAUUGGAAUGAUACAAAGAAGAUUAGCAUGGCCCCUGCACAAGGAUGACAUGCAAAUUUGUGAAGUGUUCCGUAUUUUU
Molecule: small nuclear RNA, 107 nt
Filed under: Peromyscus maniculatus bairdii (prairie deer mouse)
Lineage: Eukaryota; Metazoa; Chordata; Mammalia; Rodentia; Cricetidae
Source: RNAcentral